GACGAACGCUGGCGGCGUGCUUAACACAUGCCAGUCGAACGGAAAGGCCCUGCUUUUGUGGGGUGCUCGAGUGGCGAACGGGUGAGUAACACGUGAGUAACCUGCCCUUGACUUUGGGAUAACUUCAGGAAACUGGGGCUAAUACCGGAUAGGAGCUCCUGCUGCAUGGUGGGGGUUGGAAAGUUUCGGCGGUUGGGGAUGGACUCACGGCUUAUCAGCUUGUUGGUGGGGUAGUGGCUUACCAAGGCUUUGACGGGUAGCCGGCCUGAGAGGGUGACCGGCCACAUUGGGACUGAGAUACGGCCCAGACUCCUACGGGAGGCAGCAGUGGGGAAUAUUGCACAAUGGGCGGAAGCCUGAUGCAGCAACGCCGCGUGCGGGAUGACGGCCUUCGGGUUGUAAACCGCUUUCGCCUGUGACGAAGCGUGAGUGACGGUAAUGGGUAAAGAAGCACCGGCUAACUACGUG
This 468-nucleotide ribosomal RNA is filed under the name uncultured bacterium. RNAcentral describes it as "partial 16S ribosomal RNA". It matches the Rfam family "Bacterial small subunit ribosomal RNA", at positions 28 to 507 of the family's 1533-position model. The record is from RNAcentral.